GUGGUCUCAGGUGAGAGAAGAGAAAAAGCACAGAGCUUGCAGAAGGCAGAGAUCUGCAGCUUAUUCCCAAUGCAAGACGGAGCUGAUAAGCAAGCUGGCAGUAAUGACGUGGUGUAUCUUUCAGAGGAUCUUGAGGCCUGUGACUUUCCAUGUAGAGAAGAGAACCCUGGUUCUUGUCCACAUCUGAACCAGCAAAGCUGCUCUUAGCUGAUGGGCUCAGAAGAGAGCGGGACGAUUGCCUGAGAUCCAGUAGUCCCUUUUGCAAUAAAGCUAUGAUGAUGUCAUAAAGCACCUGGGACAGUCAUGCCUACUGCUCCACGGAAGGGAAGAUGGCGGAACAUAGAGGACGAAGACGAUUCUGGGUGCCUGGAGGGAGGAGGGACGGAGCAGAAAGAGCACUGCAUCAGAGGGAAUUGCCCAGAUGGCAGUGGAUCACGGCACACAUGGACUGUGCACCUGGUGGCCAAGCCUAGGCAAGAUGAUGGGUCUCUCAGGGAUGUGGCUCGGAAAGGUGAUAUCCAAGGACUAGAUGAACCCCAGCUCCCACAAUGCUGUAGACAAAAUGACGGAGCAAGAAAGAAAGAAGAAAACUGGAAUUGACUGGGUUUAAAUCUCUUCCACUGAAUAGGGGGAUGAGAGAACAUUUUAGUUGAGUUUAUAGAAAAAUCUAGCCAGUUAUGUGUCUUACAUUUCUAGUGACAUUUCUUCACUGCUGAGAGUAUAGAAUGAGUUCCACAGUGGCUUUUAUCCAUCACUGAAAAGAAGCUAGAGAAAAACGACUCUUUGCUUUGAGAAUAGUCCUGUCCCUGGAAGGGUCUGGAUAUAGAAUGAGAAACCAUGGUCUUGGGAAACACGCUGGGAAUCACAGACAGGUACUUUUAUUUUAAAUUGAUUCCUCGUCUCCAUUCUAUCCUGUUAUGG
Piliocolobus tephrosceles (Ugandan red Colobus) is the source of this 921-nucleotide long non-coding RNA. RefSeq lists it as uncharacterized. NCBI's taxonomy places the organism in Eukaryota, Metazoa, Chordata, Mammalia, Primates, Cercopithecidae. The record is from RefSeq and is a predicted model, not a curated record. The transcript is spliced from 3 exons.